This 73-nucleotide transfer RNA is filed under the name Pelobates cultripes (western spadefoot toad). RNAcentral's name for it is "tRNA.SeC". It matches the Rfam family "tRNA". Rfam says of the family: Transfer RNA (tRNA) molecules are approximately 80 nucleotides in length. Their secondary structure includes four short double-helical elements and three loops (D, anti-codon, and T loops). Further hydrogen bonds mediate the characteristic L-shaped molecular structure. tRNAs have two regions of fundamental functional importance: the anti-codon, which is responsible for specific mRNA codon recognition, and the 3' end, to which the tRNAs corresponding amino acid is attached (by aminoacyl-tRNA synthetases). tRNAs cope with the degeneracy of the genetic code in two manners: having more than one tRNA (with a specific anti-codon) for a particular amino acid; and 'wobble' base-pairing, i.e. permitting non-standard base-pairing at the 3rd anti-codon position. Lineage: Eukaryota; Metazoa; Chordata; Amphibia; Anura; Pelobatidae. The record is from RNAcentral.
GGAUGCGUGGCCUAAUGGAUAAAGCGUCUGACUUCAAAUCAGAAGAUUGAGGGUUCUAGUCCCUACGUGGUCA